GUCCAUGCCGUAAACGAUGGGUACUAGGUGUUGGAGGAUUCUACCCCUUCAGUGCCGCAGCUAACGCAUUAAGUACCCCACCUGGGGAGUACGAUCGCAAGGUUGAAACUCAAAGGAAUUGACGGGGGCCCGCACAAGCGGUGGAGCAUGUGGUUUAAUUCGAUGCAACGCGAAGAACCUUACCUGGACUUGACAUGCAGGGGACAGGUGUAGAAAUACAUCCUUCUUCGGACUCCUGUACAGGUGCUGCAUGGCUGUCGUCAGCUCGUGUCGUGAAAUGUUAGGUUAAGUCCUGCAACGAGCGCAACCCCUGUCUUUAGUUGCCAACAGGUUAUGCUGGGAACUCUAGAGAGACUGCCGGUGAUAAACCGGAGGAAGGUGGGGACGACGUCAAGUCAUCAUGGCCCUUACGUCCAGGGCUACACACGUGCUACAAUGGUCGGUACAAAGGGCUGCAAUACAGCGAUGUGGAGCGAAUCCCAAAAAGCCGGCCUCAGUUCGGAUCGUAGUCUGCAACUCGACUACGUGAAGUUGGAAUCGCUAGUAAUCGCGUAUCAGAACGACGCGGUGAAUACGUUCCCGGGCCUUGUACACACCGCCCGUCAAGUCAACCGAGUUGGUUGCACCCCAAGUCGCUGAGCUAACCUCUUCGGAGGAGGCAAGUGCCCAA
Molecule: ribosomal RNA, 670 nt
Filed under: uncultured Latescibacterota bacterium
Lineage: Bacteria; Pseudomonadati; Candidatus Latescibacterota
Description: bacterial SSU rRNA
Rfam family: Bacterial small subunit ribosomal RNA
Source: RNAcentral